Molecule: long non-coding RNA, 1570 nt
Organism: Esox lucius (northern pike)
Lineage: Eukaryota; Metazoa; Chordata; Actinopteri; Esociformes; Esocidae
Source: Ensembl
CUAAUACAUUUCACAUUACGAGGAUAUCAACCGGUUUUUCCCCCAAAGGAUCAUGGGAACUUCCGCUUCGCACAAAUAGCUGCGUUCAGUCCACGUCUACUCUUCAAUCCAUUUUGUAAGUCUUCGUGGAUGGACUGUUUGCACUACGCAAGCCAGUUUUUGUUAAAGUAAUUUUUGUAAUCGUAAAACUUUUGACUUUAAAUCCUCUGGAAGCCUUAUGUUUCACUCAUUCAGAUAAGUUACUUUACAUUUGUGAAUUUGCGAGCUGAUAAACGUUCGCUGUCUGACUUUUUAUACGAACUACUUUGGACAUUUACCUUUUUGUGCGUGAAAUGUGCUUGGAAAUGGAUACCAAAGUGGAAUGGGAAGUACUCAAACCGUGUUACUCCAGAAGAUCUGGCAAACUUUCAAAGUGCAGGCUGAGGAAAAUUCUCAAUUUAAGUUCCCGACAAGAAGGCCUGAAAAUGUGGCGCGCCAACAUUGUCAAAGCCACUCUCAAGAAAUACAUUCGCUGCGAGCAGAAAAGGAGGUUAGUUGCUAAACUGGUCAAGCAAGAACAAACUUUGUCCGAAAACUGCGAAAACAUUAUGCAUGAUGGGACGGAGACUGUCGACGGAAAUACACGGUCAAUAUGCUCAAUGGCACCUAAGAACACGACACAGUAUCUCAUGGAUAUCGUAUACGACGACAUGCUAAACGACACCAGUUCCAGCCAGAAGUUGAGCCCCGAUUCGCUCGAGAUCUGCGUGCCAAAGGGACUUCGAAGAAAUAUACCUCCAUCUUGGGUCUUGUUGAUCUGGAGUAAACCGGUUCUGGUUUGGCCGGGUUUUUCUGACCGAAGACCAAAGUAUUGACUUUAAAACCACAAACUAAGCGACGCAACGGACGCCGCCCAUCAGUAGGGGGCGCUCUCGGUCGCAGCGUCGCUUCCUGUGGUGGCCAGACUACCUAUGCCUCCACUAAGGUAUCACAGGUAAACCUGAUUCUCCUACAGGUAUAUGUGGCCGGUAGCACUUGAGUUCACCAGUAAGCUUCCGGUUUGCAAUUUCACUGCGUUUCUAUGACUUUGCUACAAGUAAAGUAUCUUGAACGUGGAGUAAUUGCUGCCGGCGUAGUUUACGCAGUGCCCAGAUAUGUUCAAAGCUGUCAGUGCUGCAUUUACUGUUGUGCAAGCCUUUUUCAGAUCAGGUUCUUCCUCCUACCUGCCUGCAAUCAGCGUGGCUGUUGCCAGAACGAUGGACUCGUGCGGAUGACCAUGGAAGUAAGGUGACAUACGAUUUUGUUACCAAAAGCGUCAGUUUUAGCAGUUCGUUGGUUACCGGAAGACGCGUGUUAGUCAUUGCAAAGUAGACAUACACGGUUUAAACAAACCAGGGUGCAUUUAAACAUGAACUGAGUGUCAUUGUCUGGACAUUUGAGGAAGCCUUUUGUAUUAAAUGCUCUUGUAAAUUAAACAAUCAUGUGAUCUAACUGGUUUAAGUUUUCUGUUCUUGAUGUUAUUGGUAGUAGUGACUGUAUGCCGACCACUUGAGUUUGUAGUAUUCGCUUUUCAAAAAUGUGGCGCAUUUGG